Molecule: ribosomal RNA, 286 nt
Filed under: uncultured Methylomirabilota bacterium
Lineage: Bacteria; Methylomirabilota (SeqCode)
Description: uncultured candidate division NC10 bacterium partial 16S ribosomal RNA
Rfam family: Bacterial small subunit ribosomal RNA
Source: RNAcentral
UCGUGUCGUGAGAUGUUGGGUUAAGUCCCGCAACGAGCGCAACCCUCACCCCUUGUUGCCAUCAGGUGAUGCUGGGCACUCUAGGGGAACUGCCCCGGUCAACGGGGAGGAAGGUGGGGAUGACGUCAAGUCAUCAUGCCCCUUACGCCCUGGGCUACACACGUGCUACAAUGGCCGGUACAAAGGGAUGCCAUACCGCGAGGUGGAGCUAAACCCAGAAAGCCGGUCUAAGUUCAGAUUGGAGUCUGCAACUCGACUCCAUGAAGGAGGAAUCGCUAGUAAUCGC